Small nuclear RNA from Neofelis nebulosa (Clouded leopard), 104 nucleotides. The record is from RefSeq and is a predicted model, not a curated record. NCBI's taxonomy places the organism in Eukaryota, Metazoa, Chordata, Mammalia, Carnivora, Felidae.
UCGCUUUGGCAGUGAAUAUACUAAAAUUGGACCCAUACAGAGAAGAUUAGCGUAGCCCCAUGUGCAAGGAUGACUCACAAAUUCGUGAAGCGUUCCAUAUUUAA